AGAGUUUGAUCCUGGCUCAGAACGAACGCUGGCGGCGUGCUUAAGACAUGCAAGUCGAACGGUAAGGCACCUUCGGGUGUACACGAGUGGCGCACGGGUGAGUAACGCGUGGGUAAUCUGCCUUCGGGUUUGGGACAACUUCGGGAAACUGGAGCUAAUACCAAAUAAGACCACGGGGUCCUUGGACCUUGCGGAAAAAGGUGGCCUCUUCUUGAAAGCUAUCGCCUGUUGAUGAGCCCGCGUCCCAUUAGCUUGUUGGUGAGGUAAAAGCUCACCAAGGCUUCGAUGGGUAGCUGGUCUGAGAGGAUGAUCAGCCACACUGGAACUGAGACACGGUCCAGACUCCUACGGGAGGCAGCAGUCGGGAAUCUUGCACAAUGGGCGAAAGCCUGAUGCAGCAACGCCGCGUGAGGGAUGAAGGCCCUCGGGUCGUAAACCUCUGUCGGGAGGGAAGAACGCGCUUCGGACCAAUACUCCGGAGCGUUGACGUACCUCCAAAGGAAGUGCCGCUAACU
Molecule: ribosomal RNA, 515 nt
Filed under: uncultured bacterium
Lineage: Bacteria
Description: bacterial SSU rRNA
Rfam family: Bacterial small subunit ribosomal RNA
Source: RNAcentral